UUUCAACGAAAACAACACAGCUUCACCGAGACUGUCACAGUGAGCGCUUGUAUUUUGCAUCUUUAAAACGACUUGAUGUCAGAAGAAGAUGACCUGGAUCUCCUGUUGCAGGAUGACCCAAACGAUCAUGCAUUCAGUAUAAGUACGUACAUGUAAGUUGAUGUAGCCACAUAGGCCAACUAAAAAGAAAAAAAAAAUGCGGUUUUGUCAUGUUAUGAAAAAUUCACGAUUAAUUAACCGCGAUUUGAUGCCAUAAUUUGUCGUUUCAUGAAAGGGACUAUUUAGAUUUUAUGAUAUCUAAACCAAGUGAAUAACACCCUGUCCGGGUCCAGCAUUAAUCAGUUUGAUUAACACCCCCCCCCUUUUUUCCCCCAGAAUUAUCUUACCUGACGCGCGAGUGUAAGAAUGGGGUGGAUUUAGUGUAUAAUGGGAUGGGGUGGUUUUAAUCAGACUGGGCAUUCAUGACCGCUGGUGAGAAGGCUAUUUUCCAAGUUUUUUCCAUGUUUAUAAAAGAAAUUAUCUUUCUAUGAAAAGAAAACACAAUCUGUUAGGAAAACACACUUUGCAUUAUUGUAAUGAUAAAAUUUAUUAUCAUAAUUUGAAUUAUUUUCUUUAUUCUGUAACAGAAAUAAAAACAAAAUGUAUGUUUGGGCCAAAAUGGGGGUGGGUUAACAUCAAUCAAAGUCUGAUUAUGACAGGCUAAUGAAAAAUCAUAUUGAUUUCUCUUUUAUCCAAAUGCAUGUAUUUUAUAUACACUUAGUAGCUUAUGACCAUAAAUUACAUGUGAUCCAUACAUGCUGGUACUGGUAUGCUAUGAGCUGAUGGGCACGUGUCCCAUUCUUGCCGGCCUCCUCUGUGGCCGAGUGGUUAGAGCAUUGCGCUCAAAAUCACACGGCCUCUCAUCUCUGUCGGCGCGGGUUCGAAUCCCUUUCGCGCCGGUAAGUGAGAAAGUUUUCCCAGUUUACUUUCGAAAGGUCGGUGGUCUCUCCCCAGGUAUCUGGGUUCUCUCUUCCACCAAUAAAAAAUCUGGGUGCCACCAGAUAACUGAAAAAUUGUUGAGUUUGGCAGAAAACAUCAAUCAAUCAAUCCCCUUCUUGCCUAGAUUUUCUCGAAUUUCGACUAGAUCCACACCCCAUCAGAGUACUAUGCAAGGGGAUUUAGACACUGUGUACCAUGAAGAACCAAUUCAAUUCUACUUUUAUAUCUGGGGUCAUAUACUUUCCCUCAGAGUUUCAGUACUUUCGCUGGACCCUGUAGGUUUUAACCUGAAUUUCUUCAGUAUUUCCCCUCGUGUAUAUGCUAGGCAUAAUGCAGACACCUACAUGAUACAUGUUUUUCCAUUACCCAUUCUGCUACUCUCGCAAUGUAUAAUAAAAUAUUCGAUUCAUUUCUAACACAUGUAUGCAAUCCCUUACCUUAUCUUUAAAUAAAUUUGAGUAAAUAAAUUUAAGUGCGAAACUGUUCCAUGCUACCGUGAAACUUAGAUUUUGCUUUUUAAACAUAAACCAACAAUUCUUAAUUGUAAUUUCUUUUCGUCUUUAAAAAGGGUAUUGACAUCCCAAUAUUUAGUGGGAAGUUCCCAGGUAUCAUCCGCUAGCGACAGUCUACUGGCAAAUCCAGACAUGCAUUGGAAGGAUGCUGAUGUGGAGGACACAGGGACACCUGAUCCAAGAACUGUGACAUUUCAUUCAGGGUGACAACCUGGCUUUCAGUUGAUAUGGGACCUUAUUAUUCGGAGAACUGCAGAUUUUAUGAAGCUGUCUUUGACAGAAGAUUUGGUUUUCUCCAUCUGUGUUGCCACCAACCAUUAUGCAGAGAUGGUCAUAUCUAGGGGGAAGGGUUGCCAUAUACUUUCCAAGGAAGUUUGCAGCCUCUCACUGAAGAGGAACUGUACAGAUUUUUGUGCAUUAUCUUAUACAUGCCUGCUGUGAAGUUCCAGUCGAUAAACAGAUAUUGGUCAACGCAUGCCCUGUCGGAACAACUGAUUAUCAAGAAUGAUGUCUAGAAAUAGGUUUCAAGAGGUUGAAUAUAAGAACAUUUUUGUUAAAUAUGAUGCAAGUACAUUUAAAUCUAGUGAUUGAAAGUAAGUACUUGAACAUUCGUAUAUGUUGAACUUGGAGAGGAAAAAUGGUUAGUACUUUUUGAUAACAUUUGAUAAGGUGUUGUUGUCUAGCAACCAAAUAUAAUUGAAUAAAUUAUUUUAGAUUAACAAUAACUGAAAAAUCUUUGUUUUAAUGUUGCAAUACUUAUUCUAUUUAAUGGAACAUAAUGGCAAAACGUCAUAUUAUUAGAAAAUGAUGGACAAGUAUAUAAAGUACGAAGUUUCCAUUUGAUGACCUUUGACCUUAAUUCUCUUCAUCAUAUUUUUUGUUAAAAACCUUUUAAAAUGAUUAAGAUCUAUUUAAAGAUUAUAUUUUUAAAAUAAUGUGACAUUUACUAAUCAUCAUGGAUUGUAAUUACGUUUAAAUUGUGUCGAAUGGAUGCAGAAAGGCACAUUAUGGUCAAAAUUGUACUAUGAGUGUUGUUACUUAGCAACCAAAAAUAUUUGUUUGUCAAUAAAAUUGAUUAGUUUGA
Molecule: long non-coding RNA, 2574 nt
Organism: Ostrea edulis (European flat oyster)
Lineage: Eukaryota; Metazoa; Mollusca; Bivalvia; Ostreida; Ostreidae
Exons: 3
Source: RefSeq, a predicted model, not a curated record